This 433-nucleotide ribosomal RNA is filed under the name uncultured bacterium. Its description in RNAcentral is "partial 16S ribosomal RNA". It matches the Rfam family "Bacterial small subunit ribosomal RNA", at positions 29 to 507 of the family's 1533-position model. The record is from RNAcentral.
AACGAACGCUGGCGGCAUGCCUAACACAUGCAAGUCGAACGAGACCUUCGGGUCUAGUGGCGCACGGGUGCGUAACGCGUGGGAACCUGCCCUUAGGUUCGGAAUAACUCCCCGAAAGGGGUGCUAAUACCGGCUAAUGUCUUCGGACCAAAGAUUUAUCGCCUUUGGAUGGGCCCGCGUUGGAUUAGCUAGUUGGUAGGGUAAAAGCCUACCAAGGCGACGAUCCAUAGCUGGUUUGAGAGGAUGAUCAGCCACACUGGGACUGAGACACGGCCCAGACUACUACGGGAGGCAGCAGUGGGGAAUAUUGGACAAUGGGCGAAAGCCUGAUCCAGCAAUGCCGCGUGAGUGAUGAAGGCCUUAGGGUUGUAAAGCUAUUUUACCCGGGAUGAUAAUGACAGUACCGGGAGAAUAAGCUCCGGCUAACUCCGUG